This is a microRNA precursor of Pan paniscus (pygmy chimpanzee), 83 nucleotides long. The record is from Ensembl. Lineage: Eukaryota; Metazoa; Chordata; Mammalia; Primates; Hominidae.
UAGGAUAGUACAAAAGUAAUUGCGGUUUUUGCAAUUACUUUCAAUGGCAAAAACUGCAAUCACUUUUGCACCAACCUAACAAA